Molecule: ribosomal RNA, 301 nt
Filed under: uncultured bacterium
Lineage: Bacteria
Description: partial 16S ribosomal RNA
Rfam family: Bacterial small subunit ribosomal RNA
Source: RNAcentral
CAGCAGCCGCGGGAAUACGGAGGGCGCGAGCGUUACCCGGAUUUACUGGGCGUAAAGGGCGUGUAGGCGGCCUGGGGCGUCCCAUGUGAAAGGCCACGGCUCAACCGUGGAGGAGCGUGGGAUACGCUCAGGCUAGAGGGUGGGAGAGGGUGGUGGAAUUCCCGGAGUAGCGGUGAAAUGCGCAGAUACCGGGAGGAACGCCGAUGGCGAAGGCAGCCACCUGGUCCACUUCUGACGCUGAGGCGCGAAAGCGUGGGGAGCAAACCGGAUUAGAGACCCCAGUAGUCCCUGUCUCUUAUAC